This 253-nucleotide ribosomal RNA is filed under the name uncultured bacterium. RNAcentral's name for it is "partial 16S ribosomal RNA". It matches the Rfam family "Bacterial small subunit ribosomal RNA", at positions 524 to 776 of the family's 1533-position model. The record is from RNAcentral.
UACGAAGGGGGCUAGCGUUGCUCGGAUUGACUGGGCGUAAAGGGCGCGUAGGCGGAUAGUACAGUCAGGCGUGAAAUUCCUGGGCUCAACCUGGGGGCUGCGUUUGAUACGUAUUGUCUGGAAUUCGGAAGAGGGUCGUGGAAUUCCCAGUGUAGAGGUGAAAUUCGUAGAUAUUGGGAAGAACACCGGUGGCGAAGGCGGCGACCUGGUCCGUGACUGACGCUGAGGCGCGAAAGCGUGGGGAGCAAACAGG